GCGAACUAGUGUAUAUCAAGUGACAAGGGAAAAAACAUAUUUUUGCUAGACACCUAUUGCAAACGUAAGCAUAUGAUUGUCUUUAUAAUAAGCACCUAGCGUAUAACCAAUUGAUAAGAAAAAAAACAUUUCUUUGCUAAGCAUCGUCAUCUCUAAACAAAUUUCAUUGUACAUACCGAAGGAGGUCAUGUUAAAAGAACGGUACAAGUAUCCAUAUAUCCUCC
This 224-nucleotide long non-coding RNA is filed under the name Setaria viridis. RNAcentral describes it as "long non-coding RNA (SVIR_LNC002114)". The record is from RNAcentral. Lineage: Eukaryota; Viridiplantae; Streptophyta; Magnoliopsida; Poales; Poaceae.